UACCCUCUUGUCCUAGUACCUGAGCUCACAGAUUCUCAGGAUGGCUUGGAGCUGGAUCAUGCUCUACCUGGUGGCAGCAGGAAUAGGUGUCCACUCUCAGGCUCAGCUGCAGCAGUCUGGAUCUGAACUGAGGCUUCCUGGAUCUUUAGUAAAGGUGACCUGCAAGGAUUUUGACUCAGAUAACUUCCCCAUUUCCUAUAUGAAUUGGGUGAGGCAGAAGCCUGGACAUGGGUUUGAAUGGAUUGGAAACAUACUCCCAAACAUUGGUUAAACAAACUAUGGACAGAAGUUUGAGGACAGAGCCACACUGGAUGCAGACACAAUGUCCAACACAGCCUACAUGGAGCUCAGAAGCCUGACCUCUGAGGACUCUGCCGUCUAUUACUGUGC
Molecule: non-coding RNA, 390 nt
Organism: Peromyscus leucopus (white-footed mouse)
Lineage: Eukaryota; Metazoa; Chordata; Mammalia; Rodentia; Cricetidae
Source: the annotation of a RefSeq genome assembly